RNAcentral lists this ribosomal RNA (515 nucleotides) under uncultured bacterium. RNAcentral describes it as "bacterial SSU rRNA". It matches the Rfam family "Bacterial small subunit ribosomal RNA", at positions 8 to 461 of the family's 1533-position model. The record is from RNAcentral.
AGAGUUUGAUCCUGGCUCAGGGUGAACGCUGGCGAUGUGCCUAAGACAUGCAAGUCGAGCGGGGCUUGUUGUUUACACAAAGCUUUUCUGUUUUUAGAUUUCUCCCUUUUUCAAGGGGAGAUGUCACGAAGUGACAGAGGGGUUUUGUGUAAAUAAUAAGUUUAGCGGCGAACGGGUGAGUAAAAAGUACAAACACGCCUCUUUGUAGGACAUAGCCCACCGAAAGGUGGAGUAAUUUCCUAUGGUAUCUACGGAUUAAAGACGCAAGUCGCAGAGAGAAUGGUGUACUAACUACCAGCUAGUUGGUGAGGUAAUGGCUCACCAAGGCGAUGACGGUUAACGGCUCUUAGCGGAGAGUCCGUCACGAUGGGACUGAGACACGGCCCAUACUUCUACGGAAGGCAGCAGUUAGGUUUUUUGCGCAAUGGACGAAAGUCUGACGCAGCGACAUCGCCUUAAGAUUAAGGCCUUCGGGUUGUAAACCUCUUUUUGGGAGCCAUGAAGCGCCCAGAAUA